CGACCCUGCUAGGAAUAAAGAGGGAAACAAAUUGAGUAGAUGUAGAAUAUCAAUCCAAUAAUUAGUUUCAACGGUUGAAUAGAAGAAAAAAAUGAUUAUUUAUUUUUAUGGUGUGUAUUGUAUGGUGACAUACCUUUGCAUCUGGUCUUAAGCUGGGUUCCUAUUCUAUCACAAUGUUUGAAAGGGUUAGCAUCCAAAGUUGUGAAGGUAGCUCAGAGAAAAGCAAAGAGAAUUGUGAUCGACUUGGAAGAAGAGCUAUAUAUGCUUUUAUUUACCCAAACUUCAUGAUUAAUAGGUAUGGACCUUGAUGGACUCCAAUCUUGUGGUUCCACUAGGACCCAACAAAUGUCAAGUAAUAUUUGACUACUAUCUUGAACAUUUUCUGAAGGUAAUUUCUUGUUAUUUAAGCAUUUGCCUAAUGCCUGAUACUGUAUCCAUGAUUCAGAAUUUCUAAAAUGUACCUGGUGGUAACUUCACUAUCGACCCCAUUGUACCCACUGUAUAUGGGAUUAAAUUUGAAGAAAAUAGCCACCAUUAGGGGCUUUAGCGGGAAAGAGUUGUUGGUUAAUGACUAGGAUAUGGAAUGUUAAGAAAUGAGAAAUUCAGAUCGUUGCUUGUCAUACUUUGAAUGAUUUCAUGAAAAUACUAAAACCAUUCACUUCUUGCUUUGA
Long non-coding RNA from Glycine soja, 671 nucleotides. RefSeq lists it as uncharacterized. The record is from RefSeq and is a predicted model, not a curated record. The transcript has 3 exons. Lineage: Eukaryota; Viridiplantae; Streptophyta; Magnoliopsida; Fabales; Fabaceae.